Lemur catta (Ring-tailed lemur) is the source of this 214-nucleotide long non-coding RNA. RefSeq lists it as uncharacterized. NCBI's taxonomy places the organism in Eukaryota, Metazoa, Chordata, Mammalia, Primates, Lemuridae. The transcript is spliced from 3 exons. The record is from RefSeq and is a predicted model, not a curated record.
CCGGGCUUGGCAGAGGUCGUGUGGCCUGGGAGGCAAAGCCACCAUGGAACCAGCUCCCUGCGUUUACCAGGAGGGCCCCGUUCUCUGUGGUGGGGCAGGUGCAGCCGUGGCUCUCAGGGCCCAGGAAGCAGCAAUGCCCCAGAAACAGGCUGCACUGUCCAGUUGGGCUCCAGAGUGACCAUGACGUGGUGAACAGAGCAGCAGCCAACCUGUG